GACGAACGCUGGCGGCGUGCUUAACACAUGCAAGUCGAACGGAAAGGCCCUGCUUUUGUGGGGUGCUCGAGUGGCGAACGGGUGAGUAACACGUGAGUAACCUGCCCUUGACUUUGGGAUAACUUCAGGAAACUGGGGCUAAUACCGGAUAGGAGCUCCUGCUGCAUGGUGGGGGUUGGAAAGUUUCGGCGGUUGGGGAUGGACUCGCGGCUUAUCAGCUUGUUGGUGGGGUAGUGGCUUACCAAGGCUUUGACGGGUAGCCGGCCUGAGAGGGUGACCGGCCACAUUGGGACUGAGAUACGGCCCAGACUCCUACGGGAGGCAGCAGUGGGGAAUAUUGCACAAUGGGCGGAAGCCUGAUGCAGCAACGCCGCGUGCGGGAUGACGGCCUUCGGGUUGUAAACCGCUUUCACUGUGACGAAGCGUGAGUGACGGUAAUGGGUAAAGAAGCACCGGCUAACUACGUG
This 467-nucleotide ribosomal RNA is filed under the name uncultured bacterium. Its description in RNAcentral is "partial 16S ribosomal RNA". It matches the Rfam family "Bacterial small subunit ribosomal RNA", at positions 28 to 507 of the family's 1533-position model. The record is from RNAcentral.